This 473-nucleotide unclassified non-coding RNA is filed under the name Coreopsis auriculata. RNAcentral's name for it is "partial external transcribed spacer". The record is from RNAcentral. Lineage: Eukaryota; Viridiplantae; Streptophyta; Magnoliopsida; Asterales; Asteraceae.
UCCACCUGGCUUACCUCUUCAGUUGUUUGUUUAGGCUUGUAUCGCCUAGGCAGAUUGUCGGUUUCAUGUGUUGCUUUCCUAAGUUACGGUAUUGUCCCUUUGAUCAUAGUUGCUUUUGUCUUGUGUCAUUCUUAUGGCACCAGGUAAACCCUAAGGCUGUCUCUUUGAUCCACAGGGUUGAUGCUAGCACUGAUUUUGUGGCCCAUUGAGCGUUGCUUGGUAUCUUGGAUAUGGAAAACAAUGUGGGCAUGGGGUCUCAUGGGAUCCUGGUUAUGCCCUUGUUUAGCAUGCGUGCGUCUCUUAAUACGACUUCCUGGCUCGCAUUGGCUCGUACCAGCGGACGGGAUUUGUCAAAGAGUUGUGCGUCCCUCAAAAUGACCGCCUAGCCCGCAUUGGCUCGUACCAGCGGGUGGGUUACGUCAAAAAGGAAUGCUACCUGGUUGAUCCUGCCAGUAGUCAUAUGCUUGUCUCAA